AAAGAUAAAUUAAGAAUAAUCAAGUAAACAAUGUGCUGGUGUACUAACCCUUUGUCAUUUUGUAUCUAAACUGGAAUUUUCUAGUCAAAUUUGGAAACUAUUGUAUGGAUCUAGCUGCGGUAUUACAUUUAGUUUUGAUGUUGAAUUGCUUCAUUAAUUUGGUUGUUCAUUGGAUUUAUCCAUAUUAACAGAAAAUGACAGUCUACCUUUUUUGUUUUAACCCAGUUAACAAUUAUUUUAGACGUUUUUGUAUCCCUUAGUUUAUUGGAUGGAUAGAGCUAAAACUUGUUCCCCCUAUUUAUCUCCACAGGACUAGACUAUAUGAUAUGGUAAGUGAGUAAUACUAUGAAUAUGAAGUGCAUGGUAUGGUAAGUGAGUAAUACUAUUAAGAGUUACUUAAUAGUUUUUAACUUUUAAUUGACUACUACGCCAUUAGAAAUGAACUGCAUUUUAUCUUUGAGUGUGAAACAGCACAGGAGAAAUAAUAAGAAAUAUUAGUGUUUAGUUUGAAAAAAUACCUUCUUAUUGAAGGAUUAGUUGAAAUAGAAAAGAAAAUGAAGAAAACAGCACAGGAGAAAUAAUAAGAAAUAUUAGUGUUUAGUUUGAAAAAAUACCUUCUUAUUGAAGGAUUAGUUGAAAUAGAAAAGAAAAUGAAGAAUAUGAAUCACAAAAACCAUGUUAAAACAUCUCUGUAUACAGGUUGUAUUAUACAUAGCUAGUACCGUGCUUAUAGGCCUACGUUCGGUUAGAUGUGAUUCUUCAGAACUGGUUGCUAUUUUAUGUGAAUAUGUUAUCUGAUCACUUGUUCAUUUCAUAUCAUGAUAAUACUAUGAAUAUGAAGUGCACAUGGGUUAGCCAGGUUGCCCAAUGACUUGUUCUCAUAGCAACUGAUCAUCGCCUUGACUGUCUUAUAUCUAUACAUAACUUCUAGCUCUCCAUAAUAGGGAGCUCUGUGCUUCCAAUGAGUAUAGGUGUAGUUGGCAUUUGAAGUUGGAGAUGAUGCGGUGAUAACAAAUCUCCCAUCUCACUCUGGCAGUUUUGCUGCUAAGAAAGUUCACUGAAACCCCAUGCCUCACCAAUGUUAGUCCAUUUCUGCAUGCCAAAUUACAUGUUGUGCAUUAAAGCAUAUUUGUGUCCUGAGAAUUGAUUGUUGGCC
This 1156-nucleotide long non-coding RNA is filed under the name Fragaria vesca (wild strawberry). RNAcentral's name for it is "long non-coding RNA (FVES_LNC001185)". The record is from RNAcentral. Lineage: Eukaryota; Viridiplantae; Streptophyta; Magnoliopsida; Rosales; Rosaceae.